Non-coding RNA from Pelobates cultripes (western spadefoot toad), 614 nucleotides. Lineage: Eukaryota; Metazoa; Chordata; Amphibia; Anura; Pelobatidae. The record is from the annotation of a GenBank genome assembly.
GGUAUGCAGACCAGAAGCUCAUACACUAAUUUUGACAGGUCGGGAAUGGAAAAGGAUCGUACAAACGAUUAAUCGGAUUAUUUCACUCUCUCACUACAGCACGUGAGGACUCUUCUUUGUUAUACAGGUCUCACUUACCAUUGGAUCCGGACCAGUUAUCACUCUUCGAUGAUGUAUCUGAAUGGAAAUCUCAACCCUGUCUACUCUACCCUUCUUUUGGAUGUUUCCGGGAUUCACAAUCCCCUAGAGUAGUCGACCACCGUUUCACUUCACAAGUUUAGUCUGAGACCCUGAUUGGAUGUCUUUUGGGAGUUCUUUCUCUACCGCAGUCGCGGGUUACACAGUCAAUUUGGAGUACUGGAAUCUCUUAGGGUAUGGCUAGUUUUGACCACACACUUGCCUGCAUAAUAGAUCCAUGCUCGGAUGAGACCACUCACCGGGUAGGUCAUGAGGGAACGAAAAAACCCUACUCGUUUCGGUUACGGAAAUGGUGGUAGACUUAGACGUAUUACUUGAGGUUGGAGAUUUGGCUGCAAGGCCACAUCACCUGGUGGCCCUGGCACUAUCGAAGGAAACAUAUUCCACAUCAAGAGUCACAACCUGGUGGCAGUUUC